Long non-coding RNA from Trifolium pratense (red clover), 1486 nucleotides. RefSeq lists it as uncharacterized. NCBI's taxonomy places the organism in Eukaryota, Viridiplantae, Streptophyta, Magnoliopsida, Fabales, Fabaceae. The record is from RefSeq and is a predicted model, not a curated record. The transcript has 6 exons.
UUAAUUUGGGAAUUCUGCGACAGUUAAGUGAACCGUUGCAAUGUUUUGGCUUUUGUAACAAAGAAAAAAAAAACACGAUUUAUCAAACCCUUCAUUCUCUCUCUUCACUCACGAAAAUCUAUACUCUCUCUCUAUAUUCACUCUCACAACUCACAAGCCUUCAUUCUCAAAACCCUAAUCGAAUCCCUCUCACUCUCACGGAAAUCAUUCUUGAACCCUAAUCUGUAAGCUUAUUCUCGAAUCCCUCUCACUCUCAUGAAGCCUCAAGAACCCUAAUCUGUAAGAAGAAGAAGAAGCAUGCUUUGUUCCCGUGAGAAGAAGAAACAUAAAGGGUAUAUGGAGAGAUCGAAUAGUAUGGAGAAAGUGAAACGAAGCUUAGAUUGUAAUGGUUCUAGGGUGUGAUUUUUAUUUUUGAAAAGUUUUGAUUUUUUUGAGGUUUUGGAUGUGUACACUGCGAAAUUUUUAUUUUUUGUUAUCUGGGUUGUUGCAUGUGUUGGAAAAGAUAGGAUUUUGUUUGUUAACUUAAUUUGUUUUAUAGAUUGUGUACUUGUGUGUUGGAAUAGAGAUUUUUGUAUGUUAAUUUUGUUUGUUUUUCUUUGUUUUAUGGAUUAUGGAUUUGAGGUGCAUGUGGAUAAUGAUGAUGGGAAGCUUGAAGAAAGUGGAGUUGAUAGAAGCAGUUCUGCUUUGUUUUCACCUAAGCAGAUUUCCAACCCAGUUUUGUACAAACUUGUUCAGAGGUAAAAAGGCAUGUGGUUUCUUUUUUGAAUGAGGCAAAGGAAAGACAAGGAUUAGAUAUGCGAGUUUCUUCUCUGUAUGGCUGGCUUGCUGAGGGUUCAUUGUCUAUUGGGUGAUUAUCAUAUUGGUCUUAAGUGCUUGCAACCUAUUGAUAUUAGUCAGCCAGGUGUUUACACCAUUGUCAUUGAUAUUGGUCAGCCAGUUUGAGAGUAAACCUAACAUGAGCGCAAUCGCUUGGUAGGAGGUGGUCAAAAAUCUUCGGUCGUCAUCCUCUCUAAAAGAUUUAUUCUCUUCCUUCAAGUUCAAUGGAAUGUUAAAGUUCAAGUCUGAUAGGUUGUUCUUAGAAGUUCAGAGGCUAAAGAAUAUGCAUACUGGAGUUAAGAACUUGGAUGGUUCUUUGUGAAAUCCUACUGGUUUUUUCAAGUAUGCCCUUUACUUUCCAAGCAUGGUUUGACCAUAGAGGUAACCGAAUAAGAAGAGUCAAGCGAUGAUAGGCGUUUCUGAGUCUAGUUAACACUAAUUAAGGAUUAUGAAGCAACAUCACAUACUAGGGAUAUUUAGAUACUUUUUGAACUUAUUUUGACGUAAUGUUAUGUUUAGCCACUCUACUAAUAUAUUUAUGUUUUAAUUUUUGAAUGUUUGAACUACAUUAGUUUCUUUCGUUUGGAACUUCAAGUACUUGAAUUAAAUUUUUGAUGUAUGGAUUUUGUCAUUAUUGAAUGAAUUAUAUAAAUGAGAUUAAGUUAUUUAU